AUUCAGUCGAACGGCAGCACGAGAGAGCUUGCUCUCUUGGUGGCGAGUGGCGGACGGGUGAGUAAUAUAUCGGAACGUGCCCAGUAGCGGGGGAUAACUACUCGAAAGAGUGGCUAAUACCGGAUACGCCCUACGGGGGAAAGGGGGGGAUUCUUCGGAAGCUCUCACUAUUGGAGCGGCCGAUAUCGGAUUAGCUAGUUGGUGGGGCAAAGGCUCACCAAGGCAACGAUCCGUAGCUGGUAUGAGAGGACGACCAGCCACACUGGGACUGAGACACGGCCCAGACUCCUACGGGAGGCAGCAGUGGGGAAUUUUGGACAAUGGGGGAAACCCUGAUCCAGCCAUCCCGCGUGUAUGAUGAAGGCCUUCGGGUUGUAAAGUACUUUUGGCAGAGAAGAAAAGGUAUCUCCUAAUACGAGAUACUGCUGACGGUAUCUGCAGAAUAAGCACCGGCUAACUACGUGCCAGCAGCCGCGGUAAUACGUAGGGUGCAAGCGUUAAUCGGAAUUACUGGGGCGUAAAGCGUGUGUAGGCGGUUCGGAAAGAAAGAUGUGAAAUCCCAGGGCUCAACCUUUG
Molecule: ribosomal RNA, 576 nt
Filed under: uncultured Alcaligenes sp.
Lineage: Bacteria; Pseudomonadati; Pseudomonadota; Betaproteobacteria; Burkholderiales; Alcaligenaceae
Description: bacterial SSU rRNA
Rfam family: Bacterial small subunit ribosomal RNA
Source: RNAcentral